GGAGUCAGGAUUAGAACCCAGGUCCUUCUGGCUCUCAGGCCUGUGCUCUCUCCAUUAGGCCACGCUGCUUCUUUUGACCCUGGGCUUCCUGACUCCAAGGCCUAUGCUCUGUCCACUGAGCCACAUUUCCUACUCCAAGAUGGGAGUCAGCAGGGGAGCUUGGGAGCCGUUUGUUGUAGACUCUGCUGACCACUUUGACAACCGCUGCCUGAAGACUAACAGGCUCCUACUGGGUUUCAGAUUCCCUGUGAUGAAAGGAGGAGGAGGAGAAGUAGGUGGCCUAGUGGAAAGAAUCCAGGCCUGGGAGUCAGAAGACCAAGCUUCUAAUCCCUGCUCCGCCACUUUUCUGCUGUGUGAAUGUGGGCAAGUCGCUUAACUUCUUUAUGCCUCGAUUUCCUCAUCUUUUAAAUGGAGAUUAAAUACUUGUUCUCGCUCCUCUUUUGACUCUGAGUCCCAUGGAGGACAGUGACUUAAUAUAGUGCUUGAAAUAGGAAAUGCUUACCAAAUACCAUAAUUAUUAAGCUUCUUGUGGCCAGGGUACCUGUCUACCAAAUCUGUUGUAUUGCACUCUCCCAAGUGCUUAGUUAGUGCUCCAUACCCAG
RNAcentral lists this long non-coding RNA (602 nucleotides) under Ornithorhynchus anatinus (platypus). Its description in RNAcentral is "lncRNA (ENSOANG00000046892.1)". Lineage: Eukaryota; Metazoa; Chordata; Mammalia; Monotremata; Ornithorhynchidae. The record is from RNAcentral.